Crotalus tigris (Tiger rattlesnake) is the source of this 554-nucleotide long non-coding RNA. RefSeq lists it as uncharacterized. NCBI's taxonomy places the organism in Eukaryota, Metazoa, Chordata, Lepidosauria, Squamata, Viperidae. The transcript has 3 exons. The record is from RefSeq and is a predicted model, not a curated record.
CUUUACCUGGGCCCAACCCAAAGGCUAGGUGGAAGCCAACGCCCCGCGCACAGUUACGUCCUCGCUUUCAUUUGCAAGAGUCUCCCUUGGUGGCCCUGUCGCCCUUGACGACAACAAGGAGUCUAGCUGGGAGGGCCAAGUGAGGAGCGCUGGGCUCCCACGGGAAAAACCUACUGAAGGUGGGACUCUUCCCGGUGUGGCGGCGAAGGGUUGGAGUCGCCGGUCAUGCCAACUGAUAUUACACCAGAUGGAGUAUGCAAUUGGCCAACUUUCUGAUCACAGAGUGUAUCUACCACAUAUUUUAAUAGUUUCAGGAAGAAAUGUUAGCAGCUGCCACAUCACCUUUCACUGUGCAAAAAUAAUGCCUGAGCAAAAAUAACGCUCAGUGUUACAACUCCAUUGGAAAAAAAGGACUUACAACUCACAACUUGCCCUUAACAAUUGUUGCAGCAUCUCCACGGUCACGUGAUCCAAAUUCAGGCAUUUCAAAACUGACUCUGAAUUAGUAAUACCUAGACAGCAAACACUUCAAGACACCCCGCUUUUAGAUUCCU